This 253-nucleotide ribosomal RNA is filed under the name uncultured bacterium. Its description in RNAcentral is "partial 16S ribosomal RNA". It matches the Rfam family "Bacterial small subunit ribosomal RNA", at positions 524 to 776 of the family's 1533-position model. The record is from RNAcentral.
UACGGGGGGGGCAAGCGUUGUUCGGAAUUACUGGGCGUAAAGGGCUCGUAGGUGGCCAACUAAGUCAGACGUGAAAUCCCCAGGCUCAGCUUGGGAACUGCGUCUGAUACUGGUUGGCUUGAAUUCGGGAGAGGGAUGCAGAAUUCCAGGUGUAGCGGUGAAAUGCGUAGAUAUCUGGAGGAAUACCGGUGGCGAAGGCGGCAUCCUGGACCGAUAUUGACACUGAGGAGCGAAAGCCAGGGGAGCAAACGGG